Molecule: small RNA, 172 nt
Filed under: Gopherus agassizii (Agassiz's desert tortoise)
Lineage: Eukaryota; Metazoa; Chordata; Testudines; Testudinidae
Description: TUC338 (ENSGAGG00000005988.1)
Source: RNAcentral
CUGACAGCUUUGGAGAAUGAAAUCCUCUUGUUAUCCACAAAACAGUGACAAUGUAGUCUGUGUCACUGUAAUCAUCCCCAUUCCACUUUUCCAGUGUGCCUCAACCCUGACCUGGAGAGACCAUCAGUUAGAAGACAGUCUGGUCUCCAUGCUUCUUGAGUCCUUGGCCUUU